UGGAAACCGGGUCCAAAUGGCUCUUUGGGUGUUAAAGGUUGCUGACCCCUGGUCUAGCCCUUGUACCUCAAUAUUUUCAGAGUAUUUAUUUAUUUUAGCCAUUUUGUUUAUUUGGUUAGCCUUUUUUUUUUUUUUUUUUAAAUUUAGAGACUGCGUUGGUUUGGACAUGUGCAAAGGAGGGACAGUGGAAUGAUGUUGAAUAUGGAGCUUCCAGGAGGAGAAGCGGAAUACUCAGAGGAUAAAGUGGUAAUGAAGGACAUGCAGAGGGCUGGUGUGACAGAAGAGGCAAAUAAUCUGCUGUGGUGACAGAUAAAGGGAGCAGCUGAAGGAAGAGAUAAAAGGGAAACUUGGCAAAGAACCUGUUUCAACCUCCUAAGACCCGAACUCUUCCACGGCAUGCAUUUUUAAUUUCUCUUUGAUAUUUGGGCUGAUUGGGAACUGAGAAAUGUAAAAACGAAGAAUUACCAGAUUUUUUUUUAACUUAAUUUUUCUUUCCAAGAAAAAUGAGAGCCACAUAUAUAUUCAUUUAAAAUUUCGACAGAACAGUAGCAGUAUAAUGUCCUCGUAAGUGGAUAUCAAGCCCUUGUAGAGCAAAAUUUAGUAUUUUGGUCUAUAUAACCCAAAAUGUGAUGUCCACAUAUGUGGACAAAAGGUCCUAGGAGGUUAAUAUAGGAGCUUUUGGCAUGCUGUUAUACAACAGCCUGUUGCAACAACACACAAUUUGUUCCCAUUUAACUAAUCUACAAAAAAUUGCAUUUUGGGAGUAUUUUAGUAUUAUUUAGUAAUUUAUCACCAAAAAGGUGAUUCAGGCUGGGCAGAAGAAUGAAAGUAGGUUGUUGGGUUUUUUUUUGCCUUAUAUACUUUAUUUCCAUGUAUCUUUGCAUAUGUUCCAAUAAAUUGCUGUAGCUUUUUCCCAUUUUUCUAGCAAAAUAUAAUGAAAUUAGGGCAAUCUCAAGACCUCUGCACAGUAGUGCAAAUCUGUGAGUGAAUACUGAUUGUGUGGCAAUGUUAUAUAUUCUACUGCAGGGUAAAUAACAGAUGUUUACUUACACAUUUGCCUUGUAGAGUUAAAAAGAAUAUGACAAACACAAAAUGUGGUUAUGUGC
Astatotilapia calliptera (eastern happy) is the source of this 1106-nucleotide long non-coding RNA. Lineage: Eukaryota; Metazoa; Chordata; Actinopteri; Cichliformes; Cichlidae. The record is from Ensembl.